GCAGUCGAACGGUAGCACAGAGAGCUUGCUCUCGGGUGACGAGUGGCGGACGGGUGAGUAAUGUCUGGGAAACUGCCUGAUGGAGGGGGAUAACUACUGGAAACGGUAGCUAAUACCGCAUAACGUCGCAAGACCAAAGAGGGGGACCUUCGGGCCUCUUGCCAUCAGAUGUGCCCAGAUGGGAUUAGCUAGUAGGUGGGGUAACGGCUCACCUAGGCGACGAUCCCUAGCUGGUCUGAGAGGAUGACCAGCCACACUGGAACUGAGACACGGUCCAGACUCCUACGGGAGGCAGCAGUGGGGAAUAUUGCACAAUGGGCGCAAGCCUGAUGCAGCCAUGCCGCGUGUAUGAAGAAGGCCUUCGGGUUGUAAAGUACUUUCAGCGGGGAGGAAGGUGUUGUGGUUAAUAACCGCAGCAAUUGACGUUACCCGCAGAAGAAGCACCGGCUAACUCCGUGCCAGCAGCCGCGGUAAUACGGAGGGUGCAAGCGUUAAUCGGAAUUACUGGGCGUAAAGCGCACGCAGGCGGUCUGUCAAGUCGGAUGUGAAAUCCCCGGGCUCAACCUGGGAACUGCAUUCGAAACUGGCAGGCUAGAGUCUUGUAGAGGGGGGUAGAAUUCCAGGUGUAGCGGUGAAAUGCGUAGAGAUCUGGAGGAAUACCGGUGGCGAAGGCGGCCCCCUGGACAAAGACUGACGCUCAGGUGCGAAAGCGUGGCAAACAGGAUUAGAUACCCUGGUAGUCCACGCCGUAAACGAUGUCGAUUUGGAGGUUGUGCCCUUGAGGCGUGGCUUCCGGAGCUAACGCGUUAAAUCGACCGCCUGGGGAGUACGGCCGCAAGGUUAAAACUCAAAUGAAUUGACGGGGGCCCGCACAAGCGGUGGAGCAUGUGGUUUAAUUCGAUGCAACGCGAAGAACCUUACCUGGUCUUGACAUCCACAGAACUUUCCAGAGAUGGAUUGGUGCCUUCGGGAACUGUGAGACAGGUGCUGCA
RNAcentral lists this ribosomal RNA (992 nucleotides) under Enterobacter cloacae. Its description in RNAcentral is "bacterial SSU rRNA". It matches the Rfam family "Bacterial small subunit ribosomal RNA", at positions 57 to 1045 of the family's 1533-position model. Lineage: Bacteria; Pseudomonadati; Pseudomonadota; Gammaproteobacteria; Enterobacterales; Enterobacteriaceae. The record is from RNAcentral.